This 505-nucleotide ribosomal RNA is filed under the name uncultured bacterium. RNAcentral describes it as "partial 16S ribosomal RNA". It matches the Rfam family "Bacterial small subunit ribosomal RNA", at positions 30 to 523 of the family's 1533-position model. The record is from RNAcentral.
AUUGAACGCUGGCGGCAGGCCUAACACAUGCAAGUCGCACGGUAACAGGAAGCAGCUUGCUGCUUCGCUGACGAGUGGCGGACGGGUGAGUAUGUCUGGGAAACUGCCUGAUGGAGGGGGAUAACUACUGGCAACGGUAGCUAAUACCGCAUAACGUCGCAAGACCAAAGAGGGUGGCCUUCGGGCCGCUUGCCAUCGGAUGUGCUCAGAUGGGAUUAGCUAGUAGGUGGGGUAACGGCUCACCUAGGCGACGAUCCCUAGCUGGUCUGGGAGGAUGACCAGCGACACUGGAACUGAGACACGGUCCAGACUCCUACGGGAGGCAGCAGUGGGGAAUAUUGCACAAUGGGCGCAAGCCUGAUGCAGCCAUGCCGCGUGUAUGAAGAAGGCCUUCGGGUUGUAAAGUACUUUCAGCGGGGAGGAAGGCGAUAAGGUUAAUAACCUUGUCGAUUGACGUUACCCGCAGAAGAAGCACCGGCUAACUCCGUGCCAGCCGCCGCAGUAA